Molecule: long non-coding RNA, 673 nt
Filed under: Lynx canadensis (Canada lynx)
Lineage: Eukaryota; Metazoa; Chordata; Mammalia; Carnivora; Felidae
Description: lncRNA (ENSLCNG00005017547.1)
Source: RNAcentral
UCUUCCCGCUUUAAUCCCAGACCUCCAGUCAUUGGGCAGCUCCUCAGAGGCAAGAAGUCAACACCAUGGCAACCCGACAAGCCUAUCAAAUCACCGGCUGGCGUGACAGCAGCAACACUGCAGGCUGGAGUGGGCUGGGCAGAGGAGUCGAGUGGCCACUACGCUCAGGUUGCCAUGACAACGAGGAUUGGACAAAUACAGUUUGCUGGCACCUAUAAUGGUGGAAACAGGAUGUCAGAGAGGUAUCAUCUGAUGGAAAUGUUGAUUCUUGACCUUCUCUCUGAUACUCUGUCUGCCAAGGCAAAAGGAAGCAAAUAAAUCUGUAGUGUUGACAUCUCCACACUGAACCAUUGCUCCUUAAAUGUACCUCAGGAUGGAAAUAAGGUGGGAUAUUUUCCAAAUCUAUUGAAAAUCAUUUGUUCCUAGACCCAAAGCCCAAGACUGAAAUGUGCCUACAUGUUAACAAGAGAAAGAAAAACAACUAGCUGGAAGAAAAAAGAAGAACACGACCAAAGCUUUGUUAAUCGUAUUUAGUCUUUCCGUUAGCAGAUUUACUCAGUCAGUCAUAUCAUCAGCAUACCCUGGGUGCACACAGGGUGCCUGAAAUAGAGGCACUGUAGAACUGGGGGUACAGAAUGGGACAAACUUGCAAUCCCUAGCCCUUAGAUAGAAG